Prionailurus viverrinus (fishing cat) is the source of this 229-nucleotide long non-coding RNA. RefSeq lists it as uncharacterized. The record is from RefSeq and is a predicted model, not a curated record. Lineage: Eukaryota; Metazoa; Chordata; Mammalia; Carnivora; Felidae. The transcript is spliced from 3 exons.
AUGGAAUUCAUAGGUGAUUUAUUAGAUGUGGAUACUAAAAGAAGAAAAGUCAAAGUCAAUACCAAUAUUUCUAAUUUGGGCAACAAGGUCUUCAGCAUAAAGACAAGUACCUUGAAGGAGCUCAAGAAAUAUCUGUGUGAGAACAGGAGAAAGGUUUGUCAUAUGGGAAAACGAAGCCUGAGAAGUGCCAGACCCAGAGAUAAUGAGAAAAGCAGAAGGCUGAAAUAAG